This 253-nucleotide ribosomal RNA is filed under the name uncultured bacterium. Its description in RNAcentral is "partial 16S ribosomal RNA". It matches the Rfam family "Bacterial small subunit ribosomal RNA", at positions 524 to 776 of the family's 1533-position model. The record is from RNAcentral.
UACGAAGGGGGCUAGCGUUGUUCGGAAUUACUGGGCGUAAAGCGCACGUAGGCGGAUCGAUCAGUCAGGGGUGAAAUCCCAGGGCUCAACCCUGGAACUGCCUUUGAUACUGUCGAUCUGGAGUAUGGAAGAGGUGAGUGGAAUUCCGAGUGUAGAGGUGAAAUUCGUAGAUAUUCGGAGGAACACCAGUGGCGAAGGCGGCUCACUGGACUGGUAUUGACGCUGAGGUGCGAAAGCGUGGGGAGCAAACAGG